RNAcentral lists this ribosomal RNA (329 nucleotides) under uncultured eukaryote. RNAcentral's name for it is "partial 18S ribosomal RNA". It matches the Rfam family "Eukaryotic small subunit ribosomal RNA", at positions 1470 to 1796 of the family's 1831-position model. The record is from RNAcentral.
CCCUUAGAUGUUCGGGGCCGCACGCGCGCUACACUGAAGGAAUCAGCACGUCUUUCUCCUUGUCCGAAAGGACUGGGUAACCCGCUGAACCUCCUUCGUGCUAGGGAUUGGGGCUUGUAAUUCUUCCCCAUGAACGAGGAAUUCCCAGUAAGCGCGAGUCAUAAGCUCGCGUUGAUUACGUCCCUGCCCUUGUACACACCGCCCGUCGCUACUACCGAUUGGAUGGUUUAGUGAGAUCCUCGGAUUGGUCCCGGCGCGGCCUCUGGUCGUGCCGGAGUGCCGAAAAGAAUGUCGAACUUGAUCAUCUAGAGGAAGUAAAAGUCGUAACA